Molecule: ribosomal RNA, 238 nt
Filed under: uncultured bacterium
Lineage: Bacteria
Description: partial 16S ribosomal RNA
Rfam family: Bacterial small subunit ribosomal RNA
Source: RNAcentral
AGCGGCAGACGGGUGAGUAACACGUGGGCAACUACCCCGAGCGGGGGAUAACCACUGGAAACGGUGGCUAAUACCGCAUGAGACCACGACCCUGCGGGGUCAUGGUUAAAGGCUUCGGCCACCUUGGGAGGGGCCCGCGGCCGAUUAGCUAGUUGGUGAGGUAAUGGCUCACCAAGGCGACGAUCGGUAGCUGGUCUGAGAGGAUGAUCAGCCACACUGGUACUGAGACACGGACCAG